UCCGGUUUUNCAGUGGGUACGGGCUAGCUAGAGUGCAGUAGGGGAGACUGGAAUUCCUGGUGUAGCGGUGGAAUGCACAGAUAUCAGGAGGANCACCGAUGGCGAAGGCAGGUCUCUGGGCUGUAACUGACGCUGAGAAGCGAAAGCAUGGGGAGCGAACAGGAUUAGAUACCCUGGUAGUCCAUGCCGUAAACGUUGGGCACUAGGUGUGGGGGNCAUUCCACGUUUUCCGCGCCGUAGCUAACGCAUUAAGUGCCCCGCCUGGGGAGUACGGCCGCGAGGCUAAAACUCAAAGGAAUUGACGGGGGCCCGCACAAGCGGCGGAGCAUGCGGAUUAAUUCGAUGCAACGCGAAGAACCUUACCAAGGCUUGACAUGCAUUAGAUCGCGUCAGAGAUGGCGUUUCCCUUCGGGGCUGGUGUACAGGUGGUGCAUGGUUGUCGUCAGCUCGUGUCGUGAGAUGUUGGGUUAAGUCCCGCAACGAGCGCAACCCUCGUUCUAUGUUGCCAGCGGUUCGGCCGGGGACUCAUAGGAGACUGCCGGGGUCAACUCGGAGGAAGGUGGGGAUGACGUCAAAUCAUCAUGCCCCUUAUGUCUUGGGCUUCACGCAUGCUACAAUGGCCGGUACAGAGGGUUGCGAUACUGUGAGGUGGAGCUAAUCCCUUAAAGCCGGUCUCAGUUCGGAUUGGGGUCUGCAACUCGACCCCAUGAAGUCGGAGUCGCUAGUAAUCGCAGAUCAGCAACGCUGCGGUGAAUACGUUCCCGGGCCUUGUACACACCGCCCGUCAAGUCACGAAAGUUGGUAACACCCGAAGCCGGUGGCCUAACCCUUGUGGGGGGAGCCG
RNAcentral lists this ribosomal RNA (844 nucleotides) under uncultured bacterium. RNAcentral describes it as "bacterial SSU rRNA". It matches the Rfam family "Bacterial small subunit ribosomal RNA", at positions 614 to 1455 of the family's 1533-position model. The record is from RNAcentral.